UACUAUUUUACCCUUCUCUU
RNAcentral lists this small RNA (20 nucleotides) under Arabidopsis thaliana (thale cress). RNAcentral's name for it is "ATSL068670". The record is from RNAcentral. Lineage: Eukaryota; Viridiplantae; Streptophyta; Magnoliopsida; Brassicales; Brassicaceae.